AGAGUUUGAUCCUGGCUCAGGACGAACGCUUGCGGCGUGCCUAAAAAAUGCAAGUCGAACGGGGGGCUUCGGCCCCUAGUGGCGAACGGUCGCGUAACACGUAAGCAACCUGCCCCGAAGUGGGGGACAACAUCCCGAAAGGGGUGCUAAUACCGCAUGUGGCCGUCGAAUCGCAUGGUUUGGCGUCCAAAGGCUUAUGUCGCUUCGGGAUGGGCUUGCGGCCUAUCAGGUAGUUGGUGCGGUAACGGCGCACCAAGCCGACGACGGGUAGCUGGUCUGAGAGGACGAUCAGCCGGAUUGGGACUGAGAUACGGCCCAGACUCCUACGGGGGGCAGCAAUUAGGAAUCUUGCGCAAUGGGGGAAACCCUGACGCAGCGACGUCGCGUGGAGGAUGAAGGUCCUCGGAUCGUAAACUCCUUUUAAGAGGGAAGAAUUUUGACGGUACCUCUUGAAUAAGCCCCGGCUAACUACGUGCCAGCAGCCGCGGUAAUACGUAGGGGGCGAGCGUUGUCCGAAGUUACUGGGCGUAAAGCGCGCGUAGGCGGUCCUUCAAGUCCGGGGUGAAAGGUUCGGCGCUCAACGUGAACAUUGCCUUGGAUACUGUUGGACUUGAGUCCGGAAGGGGGAAGCGGAAUUCCUGGUGUAGCGGUGAAAUGCGUAGAUAUCAGGAGGAACACCGGUGGCGAAGGCGGCUUCCUGGUCUGAGACUGACGCUGAGGCGCGAAAGCGUGGGGAGCGAACGGGAUUAGAUACCCCGGUAGUCCACGCCGUAAACGAUGAGUGCCAGGUGUCGGGGGUAUCGACCCCCCCGGUGCCGUCGCCAACGCAUUAAGCACUCCGCCUGGGGAGUACGGCCGCAAGGUUGAAACUCAAAGGAAUUGACGG
RNAcentral lists this ribosomal RNA (886 nucleotides) under uncultured Armatimonadota bacterium. Its description in RNAcentral is "bacterial SSU rRNA". It matches the Rfam family "Bacterial small subunit ribosomal RNA", at positions 8 to 916 of the family's 1533-position model. Lineage: Bacteria; Bacillati; Armatimonadota. The record is from RNAcentral.